RNAcentral lists this ribosomal RNA (576 nucleotides) under uncultured bacterium. RNAcentral's name for it is "partial 16S ribosomal RNA". It matches the Rfam family "Bacterial small subunit ribosomal RNA", at positions 355 to 923 of the family's 1533-position model. The record is from RNAcentral.
UGGGGAAUUUUGGACAAUGGGGGAAACCCUGAUCCAGCCAUCCCGCGUGUGCGAUGAAGGCCUUCGGGUUGUAAAGCACUUUUGGCAGGAAAGAAACGUCGCGGGUUAAUACCCCGCGAAACUGACGGUACCUGCAGAAUAAGCACCGGCUAACUACGUGCCAGCAGCCGCGGUAAUACGUAGGGUGCAAGCGUUAAUCGGAAUUACUGGGCGUAAAGCGUGCGCAGGCGGUUCGGAAAGAAAGAUGUGAAAUCCCAGAGCUUAACUUUGGAACUGCAUUUUUUAACUACCGGGCUAGAGUGUGUCAGAGGGAGGUGGAAUUCCGCGUGUAGCAGUGAAAUGCGUAGAUAUGCGGAGGAACACCGAUGGCGAAGGCAGCCUCCUGGGAUAACACUGACGCUCACGCACGAAAGCGUGGGGAGCAAACAGGAUUAGAUACCCUGGUAGUCCACGCCCUAAACGAUGUCAACUAGCUGUUGGGGCCUUCGGGCCUUGGUAGCGCAGCUAACGCGUGAAGUUGACCGCCUGGGGAGUACGGUCGCAAGAUUAAAACUCAAAUGAAUUGACGGGGUCGAU